GAAUAUUGGUCAAUGGCCGAGAGGCUGACCCAGCCAUGCCGCGUGCAGGAAGAAGGCCUUCUGGGUUGUAAACUGCUUUUAUCUAGGAAGAAAACGCCUUUGCGAAGGUAACUGACGGUACUAGAUGACUAAGCACCGGCUAACUCCGUCCCAGCAGCCGCGGUAAUACGGAGGGUGCAAGCGUGGUCCGGAUGUAUUGGGUUUAAAGGGUGCGUAGGCGGCCCGUUAAGUCAGCGGUGAAAUCCCACGGCUCAACCGUGGAACUGCCGUUGAUACUGGCGGGCUUGAGUUCGGUCGAGGCGGGCGGAACUGGUGGUGUAGCGGUGAAAUGCAUAGAUACCACCAAGAACACCGAUUGCGUAGGCAGCUCGCUGGGCCGAAACUGACGCUGAGGCACGAAAGCGUGGGGAGCGAACAGG
Molecule: ribosomal RNA, 419 nt
Filed under: uncultured bacterium
Lineage: Bacteria
Description: bacterial SSU rRNA
Rfam family: Bacterial small subunit ribosomal RNA
Source: RNAcentral